AGAGUUUGAUCCUGGCUCAGAGCGAACGCUGGCGGCGUGCUUAACACAUGCAAGUCGAACGCGCAGCAUUCUGUAGCAAUACAGGGUGUGGGCGCGUGGCGAACGGGUGCGUAACACGUGGAUAACCUUCCUUCAGGUGGGGAAUAACCCAGUGAAAAUUGGGCUAAUACCGCAUAACAAAGCGAGAAGACAUCUUUUUGCUUUCAAAGCCGCAAGGCGCCAGAAGAGGGAUCCGCGGCCGAUUAGCUUGUUGGCGGGGUAACGGCCCACCAAGGCAUUGAUCGGUAGCCGGACUGAGAGGUUGGCCGGCCACACUGGAACUGAGACACGGUCCAGACUCCUACGGGAGGCAGCAGUGGGGAAUCUUGCACAAUGGGCGAAAGCCUGAUGCAGCAACGCCGCGUGGGGGAUGAAGCUUCUCGGAGUGUAAACCCCUUUCGACCCGGAAGAAAGCCCGCAAGGGUUUGACGGUACGGGUAUAAGAAGCCCCGGCUAACUACGUGCCAGCAGCCGCGGUAAAACGUAGGGGGCCAGCGUUGCUCGGAAUUACUGGGCGUAAAGGGUCCGUAGGCGGUGUGGCAAGUAGGUAGUGAAAUCUCUAGGCUUAACCUAGAGGCUGCUGCCGAAACUGCCGUGCUAGAGUGUGAGAGAGGCGAGUGGAAUUACGGGUGUAGCGGUGAAAUGCGUAGAUAUCCGUAGGAACAUCCGAGGCGAAAGCGGCUCGCUGGAUCACAACUGACGCUGAGGGACGAAAGCUAGGGGAGCAAACAGGAUUAGAUACCCUAGUAGUCC
RNAcentral lists this ribosomal RNA (792 nucleotides) under uncultured bacterium. RNAcentral describes it as "bacterial SSU rRNA". It matches the Rfam family "Bacterial small subunit ribosomal RNA", at positions 8 to 796 of the family's 1533-position model. The record is from RNAcentral.